This 82-nucleotide transfer RNA is filed under the name Schistocephalus solidus. It matches the Rfam family "tRNA". Rfam says of the family: Transfer RNA (tRNA) molecules are approximately 80 nucleotides in length. Their secondary structure includes four short double-helical elements and three loops (D, anti-codon, and T loops). Further hydrogen bonds mediate the characteristic L-shaped molecular structure. tRNAs have two regions of fundamental functional importance: the anti-codon, which is responsible for specific mRNA codon recognition, and the 3' end, to which the tRNAs corresponding amino acid is attached (by aminoacyl-tRNA synthetases). tRNAs cope with the degeneracy of the genetic code in two manners: having more than one tRNA (with a specific anti-codon) for a particular amino acid; and 'wobble' base-pairing, i.e. permitting non-standard base-pairing at the 3rd anti-codon position. Lineage: Eukaryota; Metazoa; Platyhelminthes; Cestoda; Diphyllobothriidea; Diphyllobothriidae. The record is from Rfam by way of RNAcentral.
GGCCUCGUAGCUCUGUUAGCUGGAGCGUUGGCUGUAUUAAAGCCUCCCCUUGCUGGUGUGGGUUCGAAUCCCACCGAGGUCA